GACGAACGCUGGCGGCGUGCUUAACACAUGCAAGUCGAACGGAAAGGCCCUGCUUUUGUGGGGUGCUCGAGUGGCGAACGGGUGAGUAACAAGUGAGUAACCUGCCCUUGACUUUGGGAUAACUUCAGGAAACUGGGGCUAAUACCGGAUAGGAGCUCCUGCUGCAUGGUGGGGGUUGGAAAGUUUCGGCGGUUGGGGAUGGACUCGCGGCUUAUCAGCUUGUUGGUGGGGUAGUGGCUUACCAAGGCUUUGACGGGUAGCCGGCCUGAGAGGGUGACCGGCCACAUUGGGACUGAGGUACGGCCCAGACUCCUACGGGAGGCAGCAGUGGGGAAUAUUGCACAAUGGGCGGAAGCCUAAUGCAGCAACGCCGCGUGCGGGAUGACGGCCUUCGGGUUGUAAACCGCUUUCGCCUGUGACGAAGCGUGAGUGACGGUAAUGGGUAAAGAAGCACCGGCUAACUACGUG
Molecule: ribosomal RNA, 468 nt
Filed under: uncultured bacterium
Lineage: Bacteria
Description: partial 16S ribosomal RNA
Rfam family: Bacterial small subunit ribosomal RNA
Source: RNAcentral